This is a long non-coding RNA of Hemibagrus wyckioides, 1441 nucleotides long. RefSeq lists it as uncharacterized. Lineage: Eukaryota; Metazoa; Chordata; Actinopteri; Siluriformes; Bagridae. The record is from RefSeq and is a predicted model, not a curated record. The transcript is spliced from 3 exons.
GUUUUUUUUUAUUCCGGUUUCGUUUUCCCGCUGUUCCAGACGAGGUGAAUGUAUUUGGGUGAUCAUUAAAAUGCAGACAAGGGAUCAUCUGAAAACAUUUUUGCAAGGCAAUUUGCAAAAAGAAUGGACGUGUACGGGGAAAGCUUCCAAGAGUCGAAUCGAUGUGUCGAGUGCAACCAUGGGCUUUAACCUCUUUAGUGACAGAAGAGUUUCUCUUAAAAUCAAUAAAGCAAGUGGAGGGAGGACUUGAAUUACCAAAUGAACAGAAGACAAAAUCCAUAGGCAGAUGAAGACAGUGUGUCGUUUCUUGUCGAGGAAUGAUGCCCAUGUGAAGACCUUACAGGACCAGUACCACUGGACACAACUAGAUGCUGCAAAAAUGGUUGAAAAAAUGAACCAGACAUUUAUUGAGAGGAGGUGGGAAACACAAAUGUCAUUCCUGUUGCUGAAAAAAAGCCCUUCCUAAGGACCUCUUCUGUUGUAAGUAAAGGAACGUCUCCCGAGCUGAUUUCCAUAAAAUAGCAGUUGAUUGAUCACUUUAAGAUUUACAUCAGUUUCUGAAAGCAUCAUAAGUGUUGUACAUGUGACUCAUACAUCAUAAUUCAAGUUUUGUAAAAGUAUAUAAUCUUGACUUUCACCAUUCAGAAGCUUUCCUUUGCACAUUCCUAAGUGCAUGAGAGCAGGUUGUUCACAAUGCCCCACGCUUAAACACUGCUAAAGUAAACAAACCCAUGAAUGGACAAGCAGGCAUUUGACCUUUUCUGGUGGGUGACCUUUUAUAUGUAGGAACCAGAUAUACUCCCACCAACAAAAUGAUGUUUGUGCCUGUCUCAUUAAAAUGUUUUUGAUGCUUUUGCAUAAUCUUAUUUGUGAAAAAGUCAAAUGUUAUAUUGUGAACAUAUUCUUUUGUUUGUGAAAAGUUUUAUUGUAGAUGGGAAACAAAUUUUUAGUCUAACUGUAUUUUAUGAAAUGUUUUGCGGCACAUGGGAAAAUGCAUUUCUUUAAAAAGUGAUAUUCUGGGUAGAAAAAAAAACGUUUUAUUGUAACGGUCAUGAAGUACAGUGCCACAUCAAUAUCAGCACGCAGCACUACAGCGCUCAUGUAUUGUCACUGGUGGAUGCUCUAAUAUGUCAUGAUUCUCACUUGUUUCCUUUUCAUUAUUGUGUGUAUUUAAACCCUCAUGUGUUCAUUGUACACCACAAAGUCUAAUUCAGUGACUGAUACUAAACCAUUUGUCCUCAUUCAGUUUCCGCUUUAUUGAUUCUUGCUCAACAUUUAGAUCUUGCUUGUCAUUGUAUAUCCUGUUCUUUCAUUGCCUGACCUUUACAUGUUUACACUUUUGGACUGCCUGCUCUUCUAAUCAUGAAUAAAUGUAUUUACACAAAAAAGAGAUAUUUUACUGUACACUGGAAAAAAAAUAUUCAAACAACUAUAUCAAUAA